GAUCAUUUGGUUUUAGAUUGAGUGAAAAAAAAAUCAAUAAUAGUUGUAUCCUAAAUUAGCAGCUUCAGAACCAUGUUGGUUGAUUGUACACUGACUGUAAUAGGAAGAAUAAUAUCUUUUUCGUUCCUUUCAGGGAAGAACAGCAUAUUAGUGUAUACUUCUGUAAUGUUACUCUACCACACAUGUGUCAAACACAAGGCCCGCGGGCCAAAUGUGGCCCGCCACGUCUUUUUAUGUGGCCCGCGAGAGCUUGUAAGAUCUUAGUGUCUAUAAUAAAUAGGUCAGAAGCGUCCUUUGACCAAAAAAUACAUUUCCCACAAUGCUUGUCGAUUGUAUUACCCGCAAAGUUACGGCUUACUGCCACUACACGGCAGUGUAGUCAUUGAUGUGGAAACCCUGCCGGAGGGAAGGUGUAACUUCGCGGGUGGAAUUGAGACAUAUAAAUGUUUAUCCCAUAAUGUCCAGAAAAAGAGAAGUUGAUGCAGACGGACGGCUGUGCUUCAAGGCGAAAGACCGGUAUGCCUUUUGUGUUACGAAGAGUGUUACUGUGUGUCCACUAAACUCCGUAGUUAUAAACAUCCUGAGGUUAGCAGCGCGAUAACUGACCUGUUUAUAAUGUAAUCCCAGCAGUGACUCAUGCUCUAAACGGCUGCUGUUAGCUGAUUGGGCUGAAAGAUGAACUGUAGAGAGCUGUAUUAUUCGGUUACAAAAAUCUUUAUUUCAUACACAGAAGAACUUAAAAAUUUUAAAAACGCUCCAGACUGGCUGAGCUGAGCCCUGUAGCCCGUGGCUGGGCUGUAGCUCUGACUCAGUAAAGACUGCGGACUUGUGGUGCUGCUGCUGCAGCUCCCACUAGUGGUUGGAUGAGGAACUGCUAAAUCUGAGGAAAUGCUAUGUUCUUAACAGCUCACAAUUUUUGAUUUUAUAUUUAUUAAGCCUUAUUUCAGUUAAUAAUUUCAAAGUUAAUAUAACUUGAUGUCAUUUCUAUUCACUUGAAUAGUUUGGUUCUUGAUUGAUGGAGUUUUUGGAUUUCAUGACAUGACAAAUUAAAAGGAUUUAUGUUAAUAGAGCAACAAGCAAACAUUUUUUCCAUGCAACUGUAAUAUUUGAUUGAAUAAAUAAUAUAUUGAGAGUUAUUUAACA
RNAcentral lists this long non-coding RNA (1143 nucleotides) under Astyanax mexicanus (Mexican tetra). Its description in RNAcentral is "lncRNA (ENSAMXG00005007184.1)". The record is from RNAcentral. Lineage: Eukaryota; Metazoa; Chordata; Actinopteri; Characiformes; Acestrorhamphidae.